This 301-nucleotide ribosomal RNA is filed under the name uncultured bacterium. RNAcentral's name for it is "partial 16S ribosomal RNA". It matches the Rfam family "Bacterial small subunit ribosomal RNA", at positions 509 to 807 of the family's 1533-position model. The record is from RNAcentral.
CAGUAGCCGCGGUAAUACGAAGGGUGCAAGCGUCACUCGGAAUUACUGGGCGUAAAGCGCACGUAGGCGGAUUUUUAAGUCAGGGGUGAAAUCCCGAGGCUCAACCUCGGAACUGCCUUUGAUACUGGAGAUCUUGAGUUCGGAAGAGGUUGGUGGAACAGCUAGUGUAGAGGUGAAAUUCGUAGAUAUUAGCUAGAACACCAGUGGCGAAGGCGGCCAACUGGUCCGAUACUGACGCUGAGGUGCGAAAGCGUGGGGAGCAAACAGGAUUAGAUACCCCAGUAGUCCCUGUCUCUUAUAC